Molecule: non-coding RNA, 10221 nt
Organism: Pelobates cultripes (western spadefoot toad)
Lineage: Eukaryota; Metazoa; Chordata; Amphibia; Anura; Pelobatidae
Source: the annotation of a GenBank genome assembly
CAAUAAUCCUGGUAGCGUUGUAUAAAUCUUUCCUUCCCAAGAACUAGACGACACAUAGGCUGGGGGUCAACUGAGGUUUUAAUCACAAGUCACAGUAUUUAUGUGGUUCCCCAUGCAAGGGUUGUACAGUAGGGGACUACAUGGGGGACUUGACAACCAAGACAUUUCUCCCACCAUGCACUGCUGCACGAGAGGGAUACUCCCACUAAAAUAUCCAGUUAAGUGGAUUAUCCCUCCGUGCAGCAGAACUGGCUUUUUACACAAAAAUACAUAACUUUACCAUUAUUCCUGCUAUUAUACCGAAUUCGGCAGAUAGCUGGGGUCUGAGCACAUACUUUGUGAAAGUACCGCUCAGAUCCCAGCACAAUAAGCCGAACGCCGCACGAACUACACAAACAUACAUUUCUCAACAAAGGCACGAAUAGAACAACAGGGAUAAAAUACCGAAAGACCGAUGCUCCCAAACGGCCUGGAAGUCCAGCGGUAUUCGUGCCAUCGAGUAGCCGAUUUUAGUUCCAGGCACUCGACGACAAAAUACCACUGGGCUAACAAAGGAUACAAGUUGGCCGACCGCCGCGUGGUCGGUAUCCGAACGGCGGCCACCCCGAACAUUCAUUAACUACCGAAAGAUACAGUGUUACGAUACUUAAUGGGAGCCACACGACCUCCUGUGUGUGGUGUCCCAUUCGGUAGUUUGUUCAUUUCACGAACAGUGUUGAAAUUCACUGUUCGUGAAACUACUGUAUGAAUGCUGGUGGCUUUCAUGCCGCCAGCAUACGAAUGCUCUCGUUCACAUCAAAUACAUACAAGGAAUACACUCAGUUCAGAUAGCCUUAAAGCUACAGCAUCACAUUACUGAACAUACAGUCUUAAGUGGCUAGUUUUGCCACAGACGGUUCAUCGGGACAACUAUUGCAAGGCACGAACAAAGUAAGGGCUACCUCCGGACCUUCAGCAUUGGGCGACCUGGCAGGACACCCGAGCUACAGAUCAUCUCUGCAGAUCCUGCUGAAUUCGCUCAGAUCUCUGACCUAAAGCGUUUGUCAGUAGCGGAGCCUCUCUGCCUGCAUAAAUCUCACCUACUGCCAUAUCAUAAGCAAUAUUUAACCAUUUUUAACAAUUUCAUCUGCACUGUUAGUAAAUGUGUCUAUUUCUAUUUAUCUCUGACAUAUUGCACGAUUGUUUUGGAUUUUUUUGUUCUCUCUUUGCAUGUCAUCGAGAUUUAUCCACAAAAUAUAAGUAUACAUAUUUGAUUUACUUUCAAUUCACAUAAGAUCUAUAGGCGGAUUUUCCUGCCAUCUGCGCUCCACUUAGCUUUCACAUUUCUAAGUAUAAUUAUAUAUCAUCUUCGGCAAACCGGUCUGAAAUCAGCGAAACAAGUCAAUUUAUUUAUGUAUGAAAAUAAAAACAUGACAUUAAUUUAAUCAUUUGUUUUUAAUAGUUCAAGUUGAUGUUUUUGUCUGUUAGAAUAUUUAAUAAUUUCCUCCGAUAACCCUCCACGUACAGGACAGGUCUGGGAGUAGGUGUUUUAUUGUCCUGAGUUAUCCCAUUGUCCAUGCUGGAGAAGGCCUCCUGGAUGGCGGUACACAGGCUCUGGAUGCUAUCCGGGGGGCCAUCCCAUCUGCCGGCCUCCGAUCACAUGCAGAUGGAGGUGGUACACAGACUGUGCCCCUUGCUUCCCAUCAUUAAUCACUGCAGAUAAUGGAAGCAGAGACAGACUGACUGACACAUAGAAAGACACACAAAGUCUUAAAGCAGUCUAAAGCAAGAUUAAAUACGAUGAUACAAAUUUACAGUAAGAUAGCUCAAACUCUAGGGCAGGCUUUCCUAAACUCCAGCCCUCCAGAUGUUGUGGAUGUGGAUGUUACAGCUGUGGUUGUUACAGCUGUGGUUUGUAGGAUGAUGUUCAGAUGUGGGAGUGUUGCAGCAGAGGUCUGUGGUGGGCAGUUAUAUGGUGUUACAGCUGUGGACUGUGGGGGGGGGGGCAGGUGUAGGGUGAGGUUCAGAAGUGGGGGUGUUGCAGCUGAGGUUUUGGGACGGGGGCAGCAGUUGCAGGGGUGAGAGGUGGGGUUGCAGUUGUGAGCCUGAUAAUAAAAUUUAAAAAGCAAAGCAGAAGUUAAAGGAAUACUAGAAUGUCAGGAACACAAAUGCGUUUAGGUGUCAGGAUCCCCUUACCUCCCUUUAAAGACUUAAAAACUCAUCUCGUUUACAGCAUCACACGGUCCAAUGCGACAGGCCCCAUUACACCUCCGUGGCUAAGAUAAUUAAAUUUGAUUUUCUCAGCCAAUCCAAUGAUUUACCAUAGGACUGCAUUGGGAGGGUAUCGCAUAUGGGCAGCAAAAUGGCCCGCUGCACUGUGGCAAACCUAGCCACUUAUAGACUUACACCGUAUAUUCAAGCCAAUUGUAUAUUCCUGCUACUGUUAAUUUUAUUGUGCAAUGUAUGCGGCAUUCGUGUGUUACAGCACAUGAAUACCACUGAUGUUAAGUCUGGUUAUCCACAAACAGUGAAUCACCACACUGUUCGUGGAAUAAGCAAAGUACCGAAUGGAAGACCACCCAUAGCCGGUCGUGUGUCUCCUAUUAUGUACUUUGCAACAUUGUCUCUGUGGCGAAACCAACCUCGCCACUGGGCAUUGGAGAAGCCUGUUUGCCCGCCUCGUGCCUGCUGACUAUGGCCCCUGGGAGAUUUGGCCCUUUUAAUACAGUAUUUGGGCAAUUGUAUUUUAUUAUGCUGCUGCUGGCCCUUUAAGAACCAUCUGGGGACAUACUGUGACUUUUGGGAACAAUACCCCUUGGAAGAUAUUACCUGUUAAAGACUAUUUUAGCAGAUUGGAUUUUAAAAGACUUGCUGCCCCUUUAAGUUGUUUUGGAGCAGUUCUGCAACUUUAAAUUGGCACUUCAGAUGCAGCCAAAGUGCCGAAGUAGUCGAAGUGGCUGCCAUUCGACAAAUAAACACGUUGCGGCGGCCAUCUUUAAUUCAGCUGAAGUUUUACCUUCUCCAAACUUCAAUGCAUUCAACAGUUCGAAUGGUUGUCGUUCGUCUGUUUGAACUGACUUUAACAUGGGAAAUAGACCGACCGCACAGCCUGAUUCUCUGGAACUGUUUUGGGCAUGAAAAUGUGCUUGCGGUCAGUCAAACUUGACAUAUCUAUCUCCCGAACGGCUGAACGGAUUCGAAUGAUUUUUGGGUAUGUUUAUAUUUGAAAUUAAUUAAUAAUAUGUAAUUUUUAUGAAAAUUGGAUGUAUAUUUUUAAAGUUAUAGUAUAUAUAUAUAUAUAUAUAUAAACUGUAUUUUUCCUUCUUGUGUUAAUUAUGUUAACCAUUGUGUACCAUAAUUAUAUCACAGGCAGAGGGGAGGAUUUUGUGUAUAAUUGCUGGGAGUGUUUUCUGUAAUGUACGUGUGUUAUUGGUUGUUCUGUAAAACCCUGUGGGCAGUACUAAGUUUGUGGAUUGGGAAUAAAAGAGGCUGUAUGUGCCAAUACAGUCAGUUCUACUUCACCCUCAAUUUGGAGUGCCUUCUCUUAUUGGGGGAAUCUGCUACAAGGGAUUGCUAUGCCCUGCAUACUCCCUUGCUACAUUCACUGCUAAGGUCUUGUAAGAGGUUGUUCCUGCCUUGCUCUCUGGAGGAGUCUACGGUGGUUAUGGUGUCGGCUGGAGUGCUUGGAGCCCUCAGGAAGCGCUAUGAGCAUCCAUCAACGGAGGUGCCCAGUAGGGGUGCCAGGUGAUCCGUUACAGUAUCUCUGUUAAUUGCGGUCUGUUACGGGUGGCCGCCAUUCGUGUACCGAACACGAGGCGGCGGCAAUCUUUGUUCGAGGAAAACCAGCGGGGUUUUGUCGUCGAGUGCCUGGAACUAAAUUUGGCUGCUCGGUAACACAAGCCCCGCUGGACUUCCGAGCCGUUCGGGAGUUUGCCGAUUUCGGGACUUUCAUUCCCUCCGUUCAGGCAAUCGGUUAAACAAAUUGGUCCUGAUAAGCUAUGUAAUAAAUGGUUAAAUAGCUGUCUAGCACAAAUAUUAUGUGGGUUAUGGAUUUUAAUAUGAAAACUAUAUUUCUCUGUACCAAGGGAUAAUCCCAUUAGCAAUGCAUUCUGGGAUGAUUAUCUCCUUGGUACAGCAAUCUAUGCUGGGUAUUCUGACUGUAAAACUAAGUCCCCCAUGUAGUCCCCUACUGGACAAACCCUGCAUUGUGCCUCGGGAAACCCCAUACAAUUGUAACCACAUAAAUACUGUGCCUGUGAAUAAAAACCUCAGUUGACCUCCAAACUAUGUGUCGUCUAGUUCUUGGGAGGAAGGGAUUAUUACUACGGUUUUACCUGCUUAUCCUGACUACCAGCGGAGAUACCGUGGAUUAAUCCUGUAACGGAUCACCUGGCACCCCGACUGGGUACCUCCAUUGAAGGAUGCUACUAGCGCUUCCUGAGGACUCCAAGCACUGCAGCAGACACCACAACCACCGAACCGGAGAAGCAUAUGAAUGCUCUCAAGCAUUUGAAUGUUGUAUACAGCCGAAUAGGAAAAACCAUGCGGAUGGGUUUACACUCCUAGCAUUCAAACUGAAACAGCAUAAAAUAAAUCCUCCCCCCAGACGACACUUCACUUUGAGGGUUAAGCAGGAACUGACUGGACUGGCACAUACAGCCUCUUUUAUUUCCAAUCCACAAAUUUAGUACUGCCCACAGGGUUUUACAGAACAACCAAUAACACACGUACAUUACAGAAAGACACUCCCACACAAAAUCCUCCCCUCUGCCUGUGAUACAAUUACCUUACACAAUGGGUAAUCUAAUUAUCACAGACAGAGAAAUACAGAUUCAUAAAACACAUCACAGGGACCCCAAAACAUGCAAUAACCCCAUUGGAACCGGGGGAUCUGGGUGAACCACAUAUCCAAAAUUCACCCAGAUCCGUUCAGUAGUUUAGAAGAUACAGUUUAAUGCAGAUUCUGUAGAACAUAUACAGGCUAAAUGAAAAACAAUCACUGUAUAAUGGGUCCCCUGCUGUAUAGUCCAAAACCACUGCAUGAUGUCUCUGUGCACCAAAUACUGGCGAUAUGGCACCGUGUUGAAAAGUCCAAACAGUGUCUGUGAGUUAAAAUGGCCGCCAUCCAUUGUUCUCACCAUGUGUUUCAUCCAUUGUUCUCACCAUGUGCCUCUGAUACAGGAAAUGGUGGCCACCCAGUAACUCCACAGUAUGUCCCCAGAUGGUUCUUAAAGGGCCAGCAGCAGCAAAACACAAAUCCCUUAUGACCAAAUCAUGUCUUUAAAGGGCAAUACAUCCCAGGGGCAUAGUCACAUGGCAGGAGGCUGGCAAUCAGUCUUCUCCAAUGCCCAGUGGCGAGGUCGGUUUCGCCACAAACCCCUAAUACUCCGCUACAAUUGGUGGCAAGCGACUGUAUUCAAACCACACAGCAAAGCAGCGUUCGGCAGUAUUUAUGCGAACGGAGAAAAAGGAAACAGCAAUUCGUGAAACAACCAUUCAAAUGAAACCGGAGUUUGGGAGUAAGAGGAAUUAUAUGAACAGUCGGUGAAUGGAAACAAAUUAUACACUGUUGAAACGGAAUACGCUAAAGGAACUACUGGAGGCAAGGGGAAUCAUAGACAAGAACAAGGCUACACUUACCGCGGAACUCAUGGAGGGAGACAGAGCAGCUGCUGCAGCACCUCAAAUGGAAGCAGAUCAGACGGAGUUUGGAAUCGAACUCAGGAGCAGAUUGGCAUUUUUACCUGAACCCCCAUCCCAAAACACAGUAGAAAGAAUCAUGGCAGAUGUACAGGCCCGACAACAAGCCACCCGGCAACCACGAGAAAGAUCACCAGCUCCAUCUAACCUUUCCCAGGGAAAAACUAAAUUCCCAUGCCAGGCCUUCAAAAAUUAUACGGAAGCGGAUGGAGAGGUAGAGGUAGAAGAUUACCUACAGGACUUUGAAAAGCUGUGCCAGCUGCAUGGCAUCAGUCCAGCAGACCAGGUACCCCUGCUAGCAGGUAGGCUAUCGGGCCGCGCAGCAGAGGCGUACCGCGCAGUCCCAGACGAGGACAGCAGAGACUACCAGAAGGUCAAACAGGCCAUCUUAGCCCCCAUUCGCCUUUUUACCGAAUGGUAGGGCCAUCACAUCCGAAGCCUACCGAAUUAAAUUCUGAGGCAUUAAGAAACAGGCAAAGGAUUUGCACGUCGAAUGGGCACACUGGUUACAACGCGCCGCUAAAGGAUGGAUUGAAGCGACGCAGGUCACAACACUAAAAGACCUGUUCCAAUUAGUUGCACUAGAACAGUUCUUUGACGGGCUAACCACAGAGCUGCAAAAUUGGAUCCGAGACCGAAAACCUCGUACCUUACCUGAAGCUGCCAGCUGGCAGACAAGUUUAAAGAUACCAGGCGAGAGCAAUGACCGCAACCACGGACCACCCCUGGAUAUAUAUCCGCUCCACCAGCAAUACCCCCUACAGUACAUUCUCGUCCAGGGGUAAGCAACCACUCAUACCCUCCCCGGUAUAAUAACCGACCACCCAUCCGAUGUCAUACCUGCAACCAGCAAGGGCACAUGCAAAGAAACUGCCCAAGGAACCGGCCUCGACCCAACUGGCAUAACCCGGGACCACCACCUCCUAGCAGAGAUGCAGUACAUUGUUACCAAAAAGAGCCUGUGGUUUCUCACACCCCAAACACCACCGUGGAAGAAGCUCUGGGAACACUACACGAGGUGAACCCCAUCCAGGCUGCCUCCGACAAUCGACAGGGGCAUCGCCAAGUCAUACACAUGGAGGGGAAAAGUAUGCAGGGACUACGUGACUCGGGGGCCACCUUAACGCUGGUCCGGACUCACCUGGUACCCAAGAACAACCUCACAGGAGAUUGUGUAGCUGUGCGGGUGGCAGGGGGGUCCAUUUACAAGGUACCUACAGCAAAGGUACAUUUGAAUUGGGGAGUGUGGCAUGGUGACGUGGAGGUGGGAAUGAUGCAGGACUUGCCCGCCGAUGUUAUUUUGGGCAACGACUUGGGGGAGCUCAAGUCCACCUUUAUCCCACAAUCCACCCCAGUAGUUACUCGGCAGCAGGCUCGCACCACUGGACUAUCGGAUCACUCUGAGGCUCAGGUAAGCAAUGUGCCUGUUAUCCCCUUAGAAUUUGGCAGCGAGGUAGCUUUAGACCCUUCCCUGCAAGUGUACAAAGAUAGGCUAGCCAAGGACCAAGGAGGGAUGGAGGGGGAGAGGUACGCUUGGGACAAGGGAUUAUUAUAUCGGCAUGCAGAGAAGGUAGUAGCCGGGUCUAUUCCCAUACCCAUCAAACAAUUAAUUGUGCCUCGGAAGUAUAGACGAGAGUUACUGCGCAUAGCGCAUGAUAUUCCCUUAUCCGGUCAUUUAGGGAUCAGUCGAACUUGGCAUUGGCUCACGCAGAACUUUUUUUGGCCAGGUAUUUCCAGGGAUAUUUUUUUGGCCAGGUUUUAACCUGUGAUACCUGUCAGAGGGUAGGUAAGCGAGGGGACCGCUAUAAAGCUAAACUCCAUUCCCUACCCAUAAUAGAAGAGCCUUUUAGUAGGGUGGCGGUAGACAUAAUCGGACCAUUAGCAAAGCCCAGUCCCUCCGGCAAGAAGUAAAUUUUGACCGUAGUGGACUACGCCACUAGAUAUCCCGAAGCAGUGGCCCUGACUAAUGUACAUGCCGAGACCGUAGCAGAUGCCCUUAUGCAAAUUUUCUCUCGCAUGGGAUUCCCGAGAGAUCAUUUCGGAUAGGGGCACCCAAUUCACCGCAGAGGUCACCCACCAGCUUUGGAAAAUCUGUGGGGUAAAAUCUAUACUUAACUCACCCUACCACCCUCAGUCCAACGCUCUCUGUGAACGGUUUAACGGAACACUGAAACAAAUGAUCCGUACAUUCAUAGACAUGCAGAAGGACUGGGAACAGUUUUUACCUCACUUACUCUUCGCGUAUAGAGAAGUACCUCAAGAAUCCAUGGGGUUCUCUCCUUUUGAAUUAUUAUUCGGAAGGAGGGUGAGGGGACCACUUGAUCUAAUCCAGGAACACUGGGAGGGAGAAGUAACAACUUCUACUGUACCAUAUGUGCUGGAGUUCUGGGAACGCUUGGAGGCUUUGAUCCAGACCGUACGCACCAACCCCCAGGCGACCCAACAACGACAGCGCAGAUGGAGGAGCCAGGGACCGCAGCUUUCAGAUCAGGCAGACGGUGUUAAUCCUACGACCGGUCAAGAAUGACAAGCUGCAGGCCUCCUGGCAAGGCCCAUACAAGGUGGUAGAGCAAAUCUGCGAUACCACCUAUGUGAUCGGCCCGUACGCUGGGGCAGGGGGCAGACGCAAGGUCCACAUGAACAUGUUGAAGCCCUACCACGAGUGCAUAGAAGAAGUGUCCGCUAUCUGCGCCUCGGCUGCAGAGGAUUUCGAUAAUUUACCGCUACCAGACCUACUAGAGAAAGAGAAGAAGAACGAAGAUCUGGAAGCUGUACAGCUAGGGCAACAUUUGAACCCUGAAGAACGGACUCAGGCUCAAAGUUUAAUUAGGGAAAAAAGGGGCCACCUUUUCUAAUCUCCUGGGGUACACCCCGUUAGCUACCCACCGAGUGGAGACCCCAGUACAGACACCCCUCCGCCAACCUCCUUACCACAUACCCGAAUCGGUAAAAGAGAAUAUGCGUAAGGAGAUUGAAUAAAUGUUACAGUUGAGGGUAAUCGAACAUUCAGAUAGCCCCUGGGCAUCCCCAGUAGUUCUGGUACAAAAGAAGGAUGGAACUACCCGCUUCUGUGUGGAUUACCAGAGGCUUAAUGAUAAGACUGUCUCGGACGCACACCCCAUGCCGCGAAUCGACGAACUCCUAGACAAAAUGGCAAGGGGCCAGUACCUCACCACUAUAGACCUCUGAAUUGGUAAUGUUUAGACACCCCUGGCACAAAGGAGUGAAAGCUUCCCCUUUUCUCAAUAAUGCAGGCUCAAUUCGUGUAUACCUCAACUGUACGAACUGAAGCCAGGGGAAUGCGCCAAUCUCCCGAAUGGGACCCAUACGGGUUCUCCAAACUCCCGAACAAUAAAUCCACGAAUCGCGGCUAACAGCCGAACAAAUAUAUCCUCCAAGCGGCUUACAUUUCCAGCAAUUAGUCAUUAACCGUGUGUAGUAAAUCCCCCCAAUAACGAGACCAAGCUCCGCAUUGAGGGUAAAACAUGAACUGGCUUUACAGUGGGCUACCCGCCCGUAUUUAUGCAGGUCUCCCACUUGGUGGACACUCCCCUAGGGGACCAAAUGGGAGACUGUAAUUGCAGACAGACAUAUGGCACUUUAAGACAUACAGGCACAAAAUAUUCCCAUAAUGCAUCCUGGUUUCCUCCCCUCUGCCCUGGAGAUAAUUGAGAAGUAAUUCAAUUAUCUCCCAGGACAGAGGCAAAUCGCUAUUUUACAUGAAGCAUAAAAAAUACAUGAAAAUAAAUAAUUAUACAACUACCGAACAUAUUACAUUCGUGCAACGUAUCCCCAGCCUGGAUCUGAGUGUAUAUUCUUAGCGAAUUGCGCUCAGAUCCCAUAUGUACAGUUCAAUCGCCAUGGAGUCAAAGUCUUUUACAGUCUUUCGGUAUGCGAUUGACUCCAUGGGAUGGCUAUCUGGGUUAAGUCCAUUCGUAUAAUCCAAACUCCCGAACGGGCCGGUGUUCGCAUGCCUUGACGAAUGAGAAGGGCGGUCUGUAGUCUCAGCGGUGUUCGGCAGAAAAAGUGUCUGUAACGGACCGUUUUGCACAAAAGGGGUAAAAACCGUUUAGGCGAUCGGCCCCCUUUCCAGAGAUGCAGGCACAGCUACUGCAGAACACCAAACACACAAACCGCCAAUAAGUGAAUGCUCCAAACACCCGAACUGCAUACAAGGGAAUGCUCCAAACACCCGAACUGCAUACAAGGGAAUGCUCCAAACACCCGAACUGGAACCUCACGAAUAGCUGCUAGCAGACGAACAGGAAAAGCACCCAAGCGGCUUACACUCCUGGCAAUCAGUCUCUAUCAGCAUACAGUAAACCCCCCCAAAGACGAGACAGAGCUCCGUGUUGAAGCUUCCCAUCUGUUUAAUGAGGGCUACCUGCCCAGUAUUUAUGCAGGUCUCCCACCUGGUGGACACUCCCCUAGGGGACCAAAUGGGAGACUGUGACAAGGGACAGACAAGCAGACAAAUAGGACACACAGUCACAUAUAUUCCCACAAUGCAUCCUGGCUUCCUCCCCUCUGCCCUGGGAGAUA